Molecule: small nuclear RNA, 107 nt
Filed under: Jaculus jaculus (lesser Egyptian jerboa)
Lineage: Eukaryota; Metazoa; Chordata; Mammalia; Rodentia; Dipodidae
Source: RNAcentral
GUGCUUGCUUCGGCAGCACAUAUACAAAAAUUGGAAAGAUACAGAGAAGAUUAGCAUGGCCCUUGUGCAAGGAUGACAGGCAAAUUCAUGAAGCAUUCCAUAUUAAA